GAUUCCUUAACUUAAUAGGUUAAAGUAUACUUUUGAUAAGAGUAGGAUUAGCGUUCAAUUCGCUAAGGAAUCA
Trichophyton equinum CBS 127.97 is the source of this 73-nucleotide non-coding RNA. The record is from the annotation of a GenBank genome assembly. NCBI's taxonomy places the organism in Eukaryota, Fungi, Ascomycota, Eurotiomycetes, Onygenales, Arthrodermataceae.